This 785-nucleotide ribosomal RNA is filed under the name Dicranoloma brevisetum. RNAcentral's name for it is "eukaryotic LSU rRNA". The stretch from base 256 to 408 matches the Rfam family "5.8S ribosomal RNA". The record is from RNAcentral. Lineage: Eukaryota; Viridiplantae; Streptophyta; Bryopsida; Dicranales; Dicranaceae.
GAUCAUUGCACACACAAAGUUGUAGCCAACCUUGCGAGCGAACGUCGUGAUUGUCCCCUUGGCCGGUUUCGCGCGGGGGUGGAGCGGGCAGCUGGUCGCUGCGUCGCGGAGCCGGCCAACCCCCAGGGAGUUUCCUGGGGGCAAAAACGCAAUGCAUCAACAAUUUGGAUAAUGACUGAGUAUGAAAAAGCGAGGAGUGUGUGGGCGCCGCUUGAGCGCCCAUCACGAGUUGUGGAAUAUGGAAAGCAAAAAAACAACUCUCAGCAACGGAUAUCUUGGCUCUUGCAACGAUGAAGAACGCAGCGAAAUGCGAUACGUAGUGUGAAUUGCAGAAUUCCGCGAAUCAUCGAGUCUUUGAACGCAAGUUGCGCCCGAGGCUUGACCAAGGGCAUCCCUGCCAGAGCGUCGCCGCGACACCCACCGAUCCGCUCCCAGCUAGCUCUGGGAGUGCGACCGAGUGAAGCUGGGCCAUCCGAAUGGGGGCCACACCACCCGGGACUUCGUGUGCCCUUGGGGGUGGGGUGGCGGAUUGGGUUGGCUGAAAUGGAGGCAAUUUGGCCGCCGUGGUGACACAGCCCGCGAUCAGGUGAUCCGGGUCUCAUCUUGGAACUACUUCUAGGUGUGGUGCUGUGUCUCCCAGUUGGUACGAUGAGGAUGGAUUCCAAAGCAGGUCCCGGACUCCCCCCGCUGCGCCCCCGCUCCCUGCCUUGCGCUCGGAGGGAGGGAGGAGAGGAGGGGAGUGUCCCGAGGUGUAACGUCACGCAUCAGACCUCUGAUCAGGGAAG